GAUGAACGCUGGCGGCGUGCUUAACACAUGCAAGUCGAACGAACCUUCGGGUUAGUGGCGGACGGGUGAGUAACGCGUGAGAAUCUGCCCUCAGGAGGGGGAUAACGGUUGGAAACGACCGCUAAUACCCCACAUGCCGAUAGGUGAAAUGAAUUUCGCCUGAGGAUGAGCUCGCGUCUGAUUAGCUUGUUGGUGAGGUAAUGGCUCACCAAGGCUUCGAUCAGUAGCUGGUCUGAGAGGAUGAUCAGCCACACUGGGACUGAGACACGGCCCAGACUCCUACGGGAGGCAGCAGUGGGGAAUUUUCCGCAAUGGGCGAAAGCCUGACGGAGCAACGCCGCGUGAGGGACGAAGGGCUCUGGGCUGUAAACCUCUUUUCUCAAGGAAGAAGAUAUGACGGUACUUGAGGAAUAAGCCACGGCUAAUUCCGUGCCACAGCCGCGGUAAUACGGGAGUGGCAAGCGUUAUCCGGAAUUAUUGGGGGUUAAGCGUCCGCAGGCGGCCUUUCAAGAAGUCGUUACUCCAACCCUUGUGGAGGAGGACGCCGAAGGUGGGGCUAAUGACUGGGGUGAAGUCGUAACAAGGUAGCCGUACCGGAAGGUGCGGCUGGAUCACCUCCUAACAGGGAGACAACAAAAUGUAAAUAUUAAUUUUGUCACCUUAGGUCGAUCGGUAUCUCAGAUUCUUAUUUUUUAAGAAUUUCAGUUUCUAAGUUUUUUCUAGGUCACACCCAUUACUUUUUCCUGGGCCAUUAGCUCAGGUGGUUAGAGCGCACCCCUGAUAAGGGUGAGGUCCCUGGUUCAAGUCCAGGAUGGCCCAUAUCUCUAUGUUGGGGGUAUAGCUCAGUUGGUAGAGCGCCUGCUUUGCAAGCAGGAUGUCAGCGGUUCGAGUCCGCUUACCUCCACUGAAUACCACCUCUUACAUAUAUUUAAAGAGGGAAAUUGUUUUGAGUUGUGUCCUAAUUUGCUCUGAGCGAAUCUAGCUUCCUAUUUUUUCUAUAAAUAAGAUGCUGGACUCAUUGAAUUUUUUCAUUGAUUUCAGAGAACCUUGACAACUGCAUAGAUUAUUUUUGAAGACAAUAAGCAUCUUUAAUGAUGCAGAUUUAUUAUUUGUGCGAAUGCAUUAAAUAACAAUUCUAUUAAGCUGAUGCUUCAAUUAUUGAAGUUAUUGGUCAAGCUACAAAGGGCUCACGGAGGAUACCUAGGCACACAGAGGCGAUGAAGGACGUGGUUACCUGCGAUAAGUCUCGGGGAGUUGGAAGCACACUUUGAUCCGGGAAUUU
Molecule: unclassified non-coding RNA, 1282 nt
Filed under: uncultured marine bacterium
Lineage: Bacteria
Description: partial contains 16S ribosomal RNA, 16S-23S ribosomal RNA intergenic spacer, and 23S ribosomal RNA
Rfam family: Bacterial small subunit ribosomal RNA (bases 1-622)
Source: RNAcentral